UACGAAGGGGGCUAGCGUUGUUCGGAUUUACUGGGCGUAAAGCGCACGUAGGCGGAUCGUUAAGUCAGGGGUGAAAUCCUGGAGCUCAACUCCAGAACUGCCUUUGAUACUGGCGAUCUUGAGUCCGGAAGAGGUGAGUGGAACUCCUAGUGUAGAGGUGGAAUUCGUAGAUAUUAGGGAAGAACACCAGUGGCGAAGGCGGCUCACUGGUCCGGUACUGACGCUGAGGUGCGAAAGCGUGGGGAGCAA
This 249-nucleotide ribosomal RNA is filed under the name uncultured bacterium. RNAcentral's name for it is "partial 16S ribosomal RNA". It matches the Rfam family "Bacterial small subunit ribosomal RNA", at positions 524 to 771 of the family's 1533-position model. The record is from RNAcentral.